AUCUACGGCCAUACCACCCUGAACGCGCCCGAUCUUGUGUGAUCCUGGAAGCUAAGCAGGGUCGGGCCUGGUUAGUACUUGGAUGGGAGACUCCACUACUAUGGGAAACAGAGCCAACAUGAUG
RNAcentral lists this ribosomal RNA (124 nucleotides) under Jaculus jaculus (lesser Egyptian jerboa). The record is from RNAcentral. Lineage: Eukaryota; Metazoa; Chordata; Mammalia; Rodentia; Dipodidae.